AAAAAAAAAAAAAAAAAAAAAAAAAAAAAAAGGCCAGAGCACAGGAGGGCUCAUCAUGGAGACCAGUUUCUUGCUGACCUCUUUCCUUCUCCUAUAGGCAGCCUUGGCUUUUAGCACUUUUAGUUGCUGGUAGCUCCUGUGUGUGGUCAGAUGAUAGGCUGCAGGUGAGAGUAUCAGAGGCUGCUUCAACAUAAGCUCCCUGCCAGCAUUGCUGGGCAAAAUGUCAGCUUGGGCCAAAAAGAGAAAUUAGAUAAGAACAAACAGCCAGGCAUGGUGGCUCAUGCCUGUAAUCCCAGCACUUUGGGAGGCCGAGGCGGGUGGAUCACGAGGUCAGGAGUUCAAGAUCAGCCUGGUCAAGAUGGUGAAACCCUGUCUCUACUAAAUAUACAAAAAAGUAGCCAGGCAUGGUGGGUGCCUGUAGUCCCAGCUACUCGGGAGGCUGAGGCAGAAGAAUCGCUUGAACCCAGGAGGCAGAGGUUGCAGUGAGCCAAGAUCGUGCCACUGCACUCCA
This 511-nucleotide long non-coding RNA is filed under the name Homo sapiens (human). Its description in RNAcentral is "HSALNT0371021". The record is from RNAcentral. Lineage: Eukaryota; Metazoa; Chordata; Mammalia; Primates; Hominidae.